UUUAUUUUGAUUACCAAUAAUUUCAUUUUCUCAAUGAAUAAAAUUAAUAUGAAUUUUAACUGUUCAUCAAUUAUUGUUAAUGAUGAGACUCAACUUGGUUAAGGGGGACCACCCAUUGGUUAAUUAGGCUCUCCAAGCAAUAAUUUAUGGUCUAUCCCAAAUUUGUCCGCUAACUUGGGAUAGAUUAAAUUAAAAUUCAUAUUAAUACAAUUUACAAAUAAAAAUCAUAGACUUAAUAAUUACUUAUGUGAUGCUACAUGUUGAUUGAUUUUUUUUUUCAAUUGAAAUGAUCUACCCAUAAAACUAUAAGGUAACUUGUGCUCCCUUUUCUAUUAAAUUACCUCGAGUUAAAACCUAAGAUCAACUUAGUAGAACCUGAAUUGGAUGUUUCAAUUGAUAUUUAAUGUGAAAUAUUUGUAUAGGCUAGGACUGCAGUUCUAUACAGGUUAUGUUUUGAUUGAAUUUGGAAAACAUUCAAUUUACAAGGGAUACUUUGUCAAAUUUUCUGCUAAUAAAAACAUAUAUAUUUUUUUUAAAUUAUUGGUCAUAAUUUUAAAAAUUUGAAUUAUUAUGAAUUUAAGAUCAUUGGUUUUACCCAUGAUGAGACUUUAAGGGGGCCACCAAUUAACAUGUUAAACUCUUUAAGUAUUAAUUGAAACAUUCUUCUGAAUUAGGCCACUAAUCGGGAAGGAUGUCCUAAUUCAGAAGGAUGUAACCCUAAAUUCAUAAUAAUUCAUUUUAAAAGUGUUCCUAAAUUGAUGCAUUUUACCCUUUUUUUUCUGAACAAACACAAGGAAUUAACAUCAUAAUUUAAACUCCAUUUAAGAUUAUUGAUAUUAAUUUAUUUUGAGCACACUAUUAAAUCCACUUACUCUUUUAGGGAUGAUAUAGGGUGCCUAACACCUUGCUCACACGUACAAGGAUGCCGAAUCUGAAUCUCUAGAUUAGAAGUGGUAAAUAAUUUUUUCUAAAAUUCUUCAAAGUAAAUAGGUUUUCUUUAAUUUUAUUCAAAAUUAAAAUGGUGACUUUUCAUUUUCUACUUUGGUGAGAAUUGCUUGACGAGUACAAAACUUUUGCAAUAACUUGGUGACUCCAUUGGGGAUUAGAAACCAAGACUUCUGAUCCAGAGGUCUAAGGGUGAAUUUAAUCUUGUGUCCCUAUAAAAUAAUGCCAAUAAUUGUGGACUUUAACUUAUAAAAUAUGACUGUUUCUUGUGUUUGAUCAAAUUUACUAAAUUGUGCUUAGUUUUCAAAAUAAAUUGCAUAAAUUUUUGCUAUGAUUUUCUUUGUUUUAUGUUACCUUUCUUUGUUUUAUGUUACCUUUCUUUAUUAGCAAUUAUUUUGUUGUAUGAUUGUUGUUUGGAUGCUUGCUUUUGGGUUGUGAUUGGUUGUGUAUAGUUAUGGUUCCCCCUGAAAGGGAAGUGGUUGGUAUGUCCCUUCAUAUGCCUAUCACUUGGUUUGUCCUUCACACACCUAUCACUUAUAUAAUGUCCUUACACACUUGAGCUCUAUACUCGGGCUAUUUCCUUUACCCUUUAGGAAGUAGGAGGAAGUCGUGUGAAUUUCCCCAUCAAUAUUCGCGAGGACUUUUACUCAGGUUGUAACUUGUUUCAUAUACUGUGAUACCCUUAGGUCUCCCUGUCAGUAUUAUGGUGUACUGACAAUAAUCAAAAGCCCCAAAGCCAAAAUCCUACACAAUAAUCAAAAGUUUUUUUUAUCCACUUUCAAGGAUAAAACAAUCCCAUUAGAUAGCAUGUCAUUAAAAUUAGACAGGUCUUCCUAUUAUGAAAAAAGGGACAUACUUUUUUCUCCCUUAUUUUUAUUUGUCAUCACUUCAAUCAUGGAUAGAGGUGUGACACCUCCUAACUUGUAGUCCGAGCAACGAAUACUAAGGCACUCUCACAUAAUUUUUUUUAAGUGGUUUUGAGCUCUACUAUCUAAAGUGGUCUAAACAUCUUCCUACUUUGAUAGAUGUCUAAAUAGUCUUCAAACUUGAUAGUAUGGCUCAAAGUUACUCGAGUUAAAUAAUGAUGGUAGUACAUGCAUUGACAUUAACUCUUGUGAGAAUAGAUUUUCACGAAGUCUCAAUAACAAGACAACUUUAUAUACU
RNAcentral lists this unclassified non-coding RNA (2109 nucleotides) under Hevea brasiliensis (rubber tree). The record is from RNAcentral. Lineage: Eukaryota; Viridiplantae; Streptophyta; Magnoliopsida; Malpighiales; Euphorbiaceae.